UCUAAUAGAACAACUUGCAAUGUCAUUAUACGCCUGUACAGACAUGUCGGCAUGGUGGGUUUUCGAGGACUUUGUGUCCAUUUUCUUGUUUCCUUGCCUGAGAAAACACUGCUGUACAUGUCUGAAACAGGUAGAUGUAUCUGUGCUCAUGUUGCAUUGUUGCAACAUUCUUGUUUGGUUAUCUUGUCUGCCCCUCUUUAAAUCCUGGAUUGUUGAAAAUGUGUAAGAUCUGUUCUAAUGGAAUGCUUUACUCUUUUAGGUUUGUCUUCUUUCAGUGAUUUGAGUAGUCCUUGAAAGAUAUUCGAGGAUAAGUCCUUGAGAAUGAAGAAAAAAGGAAUGACAGAAUUCUGUAAGAUCGAGAUUGUGCUUUGUUAACUCAAUUUCUCCAGAAAUCAUUCAGAAGGCAGGAUCACAGGAUUGAUGUAAAAUCUUUUUCUGAUGAAUGGAAAGGGUCUCAUAAACAAAUGCCACACCAACACAAGUGAGGGCCCUUCUAUUUCUCCUCUGCAAAAGUACAUCUAUAAGAAGCACUUCUUAACCCCUUCGAAUGUAGCUUGAAUUUUGUUGAAGAAACUACCAAGCUAUAAACUGGGCAUGCAGCUUAGGGGAGGGGAAAGGAGGAGAUGAUUAGGAGGGACUCCUGAACUAGCGUGGAUCUACAAGACAGUCCAUGGAUGUCAAUG
Long non-coding RNA from Magnolia sinica, 683 nucleotides. RefSeq lists it as uncharacterized. Lineage: Eukaryota; Viridiplantae; Streptophyta; Magnoliopsida; Magnoliales; Magnoliaceae. The transcript is spliced from 4 exons. The record is from RefSeq and is a predicted model, not a curated record.